RNAcentral lists this transfer RNA (77 nucleotides) under Promicromonospora thailandica. Its description in RNAcentral is "tRNA-Leu". It matches the Rfam family "tRNA". Rfam says of the family: Transfer RNA (tRNA) molecules are approximately 80 nucleotides in length. Their secondary structure includes four short double-helical elements and three loops (D, anti-codon, and T loops). Further hydrogen bonds mediate the characteristic L-shaped molecular structure. tRNAs have two regions of fundamental functional importance: the anti-codon, which is responsible for specific mRNA codon recognition, and the 3' end, to which the tRNAs corresponding amino acid is attached (by aminoacyl-tRNA synthetases). tRNAs cope with the degeneracy of the genetic code in two manners: having more than one tRNA (with a specific anti-codon) for a particular amino acid; and 'wobble' base-pairing, i.e. permitting non-standard base-pairing at the 3rd anti-codon position. Lineage: Bacteria; Bacillati; Actinomycetota; Actinomycetes; Micrococcales; Promicromonosporaceae. The record is from RNAcentral.
GCCCCCAUAGCCCAACUGGCAGAGGCAGCCGGCUUAAACCCGGCCCAGUCCCGGUUCGAACCCGGGUGGGGGCACCU